Syngnathoides biaculeatus (alligator pipefish) is the source of this 866-nucleotide long non-coding RNA. RefSeq lists it as uncharacterized. Lineage: Eukaryota; Metazoa; Chordata; Actinopteri; Syngnathiformes; Syngnathidae. The transcript has 7 exons. The record is from RefSeq and is a predicted model, not a curated record.
UGUGUGUCACUUCCGUCCUUUCUUUUUACUGGAGCUCGUAGUAAAACUUCAUUAAUAUGUUCUCUGCAGCUGAUUUCGCGAUGGUUUCCCCAUGGAAAGAAGGCAGAGCAGUAGAUGUAGGAUGAAAGAAGCAAGCCACUUGGUGUCCUUGAAAUUGGCAGAUGGCAAGGUCAUAUCAGCACACAGUCCAUGGUAACUGAAGGUACGAUGCACAUUGUGUAUCUACCUGUCGCGUGUGUGCACUGAUGUCUUUGACUUAUCAUCCAUACUGUUGAUCACGUGGUAUCGGAAGCAGCGGAUGACUGCCAUGAGUCCAGACUGACUUCAGCAGAUGACAAGGUCAAAUCGGCACUGACGCCAUUGUAACUGAAGUGCAUGGAUGCUAUGAGUGUAGACUGACUUGAGUAAUCUGGGACCCUGAUCACCUGACCGUUGUGCCCUCCUCCAGAUGCGACUGUGUUUCAGCUUUGGUGUCGUGCUUAUACACUCUAAUGGGGGGGGGGGGGGGGGGGUUGAUAGGCAUCAAAGUUGCUUUGCAGUGUUGUACAGGAAGAAUAGUCUUAUACUGGUUUACUGGUGAAAAGAAAUUUUGGCUUUCACAGAGCAAUUAAAAAAAAACACUGGCUAGUUUUUGUAUGCCUGUCAACCAUAUCACAAUUUUCAAUGUUUACAUUUUAGAUCCCUCCAGCAAAAGAUUUAUAAAGUAUGGUGAUUUGGUGCCAUGGUAACCUGCAUACAUGUCAGCUAUUGGAUUAUUGUGAACCUUUUUUAAUGCUUUGAUCACUUUGGUAAUUUGUGAUUGAGUUGUUUUGGGAAGGAUGUCAUUGUAAAAGUUAACAGAUUUUUAUUAAACACUAUUUGCUUAA